RNAcentral lists this ribosomal RNA (1114 nucleotides) under uncultured bacterium. RNAcentral's name for it is "bacterial SSU rRNA". It matches the Rfam family "Bacterial small subunit ribosomal RNA", at positions 99 to 1240 of the family's 1533-position model. The record is from RNAcentral.
CGAAAGGGCGAGGAAUAGAUCCUACAUACCCAGAGGUCGGGGAUACCUCGGAGAAAUCCGAAUCAAUACCCGAUGUGGUCGAGAGACCAAAGGCUUGCCGCCUUUGGAGUGGGGAAUCUCCUAUCAGCUAGUUGGUGAGGUAAUGGCUCACCAAGGCGAAGACGGGUAGCGGGUGUGAGAGCACGGCCCGCCGCAUCGAGACUGAGACACUGCUCGGACUCCUACGGGAGGCUGCAGUAACGAAUCUUCCGCAAUGCGCGAAAGCGUGACGGGGCAAUGCCGCGUGUGGGAUGAAGCCCUUCGGGGUGUAAACCACUGUCAGGGUCCGCCAACAACAUGAGGAGACCCAAAGGAAGAGCCGGCUAACUCUGUGCCAGCAGCCGCGGUAAUACAGAGGGCUCGAGCGUUAAUCGGAAUCACUGGGCUUAAAGCGUGCGUAGGCGGACUUGAAGGCACCUUGUGAAAUCCCUCAGCUCAACUGAGGAACUGCUUGGUGAACCACGAGUCUUGAGGUCGGUAGAGGCGGUCGGAACGAUAGGUGGAGCGGUGAAAUGCGUAGAUAUCUAUCGGAACGCCAAUGGUGCAGACAGGCCGCUGGGCCGCACCUGACGCUGAGGCACGAAAGCGUGGGGAUCAAACGGGAUUAGAUACCCCGGUAGUCCACGCCGUAAACGAUGCGCACUUGGUCGAGGGAGUUGAGCGCUUUCUCGGUCGUAGAAAAAUUGAUUAGUGCGCCGCCUGGGGAGUACGGUCGCAAGAUUAAAACUCAAAGGAAUUGACGGGGGCUCACACAAGCGGUGGAGCAUGUGGCUUAAUUCGAAGCAACGCGAAGAACCUUAUCCUAGGCUUGACAUGCACGGAUUAGUUCCUGGAAACAGGAGUGACACUCGCAAGAGUGGAACGUGCACAGGUGCUGCAUGGCUGUCGUCAGCUCGUGCUGUGAAGUGUCGGGUUAAGUCCCUCAACGAGCGCAACCCCUGUCGUUAGUUGCAAACGCGUAAUGGCGUGGACUCUAACGAGACUGCCGGUGUCAAACCGGAGGAAGGUGGGGAUGACGUCAAGUCCUCAUGGCCCUUAUGCCUAGGGCUGCACACGUGCUACAAUGGCCAUCGAC